ACUUUUAUUGGGAAAAAUAUAAAAAAUAACCGUACCUUGAAUAGUAACCUCAGAUCUUUUGUGUAAAGUAUUUGGUUAGGCAGAAAUCAAUCUGUAAGGAGAUAUUAAAAGGUUUAUUUCAUUUUAUGACUGAUAUCUAAUGAAUUAGAAUUGUUUUUCUGUUAGAUUUCUGCAUGCAUUGCUUACUAUGGCAUUGAUGAGCCAUUAUAAUGGUAAAGAAUCCUAUUAGAAGGCAAAGGACAGAAGACCUUUUAAAGUUAUAUGUAAUUUGAGAUGAAUUUCCUUUAACUUGAGUUAUACAAAGAAAUUUUGUAAAAAUACUAAAGAUUGUAUACAUACUACGUGAAAUCAGUUAUAAUCCUCUUAGAAGGGUGAUUAAUUACCUGAGAAGAAGUUAGCAAGGGAUCAUGAGUUUCAAAUAAACUUGGUCUGUAUGUAUAAAUAA
Long non-coding RNA from Myotis davidii, 445 nucleotides. RefSeq lists it as uncharacterized. The transcript is spliced from 2 exons. The record is from RefSeq and is a predicted model, not a curated record. Lineage: Eukaryota; Metazoa; Chordata; Mammalia; Chiroptera; Vespertilionidae.